RNAcentral lists this ribosomal RNA (253 nucleotides) under uncultured bacterium. RNAcentral's name for it is "partial 16S ribosomal RNA". It matches the Rfam family "Bacterial small subunit ribosomal RNA", at positions 524 to 776 of the family's 1533-position model. The record is from RNAcentral.
UACGAAGGGGGCUAGCGUUGCUCGGAAUCACUGGGCGUAAAGCGUGCGUAGGCGGUGUCUUAAGUUUGUUGUGAAAUCUCCCGGCUUAACCGGGAGGGUGCGGCGAAUACUGAGAUGCUGGAGUGCGGGAGAGGUAAGCGGAAUUCCUGGUGUAGCGGUGAAAUGCGUAGAUAUCAGGAGGAACACCUGCGGUGUAGACGGCUUACUGGACCGUAACUGACGCUGAGGCACGAAAGCGUGGGUAGCAAACAGG